RNAcentral lists this ribosomal RNA (1013 nucleotides) under Chromatiales bacterium. RNAcentral's name for it is "partial 23S ribosomal RNA". It matches the Rfam family "Bacterial large subunit ribosomal RNA", at positions 825 to 1842 of the family's 2925-position model. The record is from RNAcentral. Lineage: Bacteria; Pseudomonadati; Pseudomonadota; Gammaproteobacteria; Chromatiales.
AAGGCUAAUCAAGCCCGGAGAUAGCUGGUUCUCCUCGAAAGCUAUUUAGGUAGCGCCUCGUGUCUAACCAUGGGGGGUAGAGCACUGUUAAGGCUAGGGGGUCACCUCGACUUACCAACCCUUUGCAAACUCCGAAUACCCAUGAGUUCAAUCACGGGAGACACACGGCGGGUGCUAACGUCCGUCGUGAAAAGGGAAACAACCCAGACCGUCAGCUAAGGUCCCAAAGUUACAGUUAAGUGGGAAACGAUGUGGGAAGGCUAAAACAGCUAGGAGGUUGGCUUAGAAGCAGCCACCCUUUAAAGAAAGCGUAAUAGCUCACUAGUCGAGUCGGCCUGCGCGGAAGAUAUAACGGGGCUCAAACUGUACACCGAAGCUACGGAUGCACUUUGUGCAUGGUAGAGGAGCGUUCUGUAAGCCGUUGAAGGUCAAGGUGUGAACCAGGCUGGAGGUAUCAGAAGUGCGAAUGCUGACAUAAGUAACGACAAGGGGAGUGAAAAACUCCCCCGCCGGAAACCCAAGGGUUCCUGUCCAACGUUAAUCGGGGCAGGGUUAGUCGGCCCCUAAGGCGAGGCAGAAAUGCGUAGUCGAUGGGAAUCAGGCUAAUAUUCCUGAACUUUCUAUAACUGCGAUGGAGGGACGGAGAAGGCUAGGCCAUCCUGGCGACGGUUGUCCAGGUCCAAGCGCAUAGGGAGUGUUCUUAGGCAAAUCCGGGAACACAAUCCUGAAACGUGACGGGGAGGCUCUACGGAGCCGAAGUGGUUGAUGCCAUGCUUCCAGGAAAAGCUCCUAAGCUUCAGGUUAUAGAAAACCGUACUCUAAACCGACACAGGUGGGCAGGGUGAGUAUCCCAAGGCGCUUGAGAGAACUCGGGUGAAGGAACUAGGCAAAAUUGUACCGUAACUUCGGGAGAAGGUACGCCCCUGGGGGUGAAUAGCCCCCGGGGGCCGCAGUGAACUGGUGGCUGCAACUGUUUAUUAAAAACACAGCACUCUGCAAACACGAAAGUGGAA